This 181-nucleotide unclassified non-coding RNA is filed under the name uncultured cyanobacterium. RNAcentral's name for it is "partial 16S-23S ribosomal RNA intergenic spacer". Lineage: Bacteria; Bacillati; Cyanobacteriota. The record is from RNAcentral.
CGGUUCGAGUCCGCUUACCUCCACUGAUCAACUACCUGAUAACUCAAUUGGAGAUUGUCAUUUGUUAAAAGUGACUUAGAUAUUGUUCGUCUGAGAUGAACCUAGCUUCCUAUCAUUCCUUAAUUUUUGAGGCUGAUAAGACGCUGGGCUCACUGAUAUUAAUUAUCAGUUUGAUUCAGCA